CGAACGCUGGCGGCGUGCCUAACACAUGCAAGUCGAACGAGAAACUCCGGGCUUGCUCGGAGGAGUACAGUGGCGCACGGGUGAGUAACGCGUGGGUAACCUACCCUUGAACCUGGGAUAACCCCGCGAAAGCGGGACUAAUACCGGAUAUGGUUCCAUAGGCCUCGGCUCUUGGAAUUAAAGGUGACCUCUUCAUGAAAGUUGCCGUUUGGGGACGGGCUCGCGUACCAUUAGCUUGUUGGUAGGGUAAUGGCCUACCAAGGCUACGAUGGUUAGCUGGUCUGAGAGGAUGAUCAGUCACACUGGAACUGGAACACGGUCCAGACUCCUACGGGAGGCAGCAGUGAGGAAUUUUGCGCAAUGGGGGAAACCCUGACGCAGCAACGCCGCGUGAGCGAAGAAGGCCCUCGGGUCGUAAAGCUCUGUCAAGUGGGAAAAAAGCCUUUCGGUUAAUACCCGGAAGGUGUGAUGGUACCACUGGAGGAAGCACCGGCUAACUCC
RNAcentral lists this ribosomal RNA (501 nucleotides) under uncultured bacterium. RNAcentral describes it as "bacterial SSU rRNA". It matches the Rfam family "Bacterial small subunit ribosomal RNA", at positions 30 to 504 of the family's 1533-position model. The record is from RNAcentral.